RNAcentral lists this small nuclear RNA (160 nucleotides) under Trichobilharzia regenti. Its description in RNAcentral is "U1 spliceosomal RNA". It matches the Rfam family "U1 spliceosomal RNA". From Rfam's summary of the family: U1 is a small nuclear RNA (snRNA) component of the spliceosome (involved in pre-mRNA splicing). Its 5' end forms complementary base pairs with the 5' splice junction, thus defining the 5' donor site of an intron. Lineage: Eukaryota; Metazoa; Platyhelminthes; Trematoda; Strigeidida; Schistosomatidae. The record is from Rfam by way of RNAcentral.
GCCCUUACCUGGCGCUGGGUCCAGGGUGAUCAAGAAUGCUCUGACCCCGGGUGGAGGCUCACCAGUGCACCUCGGUGGGUUGAAACUCGCAACGGACCCUAAUCGGGUGCGCUCGGGUGUGUAGUUUUUGUCAGUGGGGGGGGCCUCACGGUCCCCCCUU